AUGGAGCUGUACUUACGUUAUUUUAAAAGGUGAACAUGAAAACAAACCAAUAGGAAGAAAAUAACAAGUUUUUUCCAAACUAUACUCAGAAAAAAGUAUGCAGAUUUUAUGAUAUGUGUUUUCAGAUAUUGUCCAUCACAGCCUUUGUGGAGUUUUCAGGUUCACACAUGCAACAUGGGGAAUAUGCAAUAAACGUUUUUUAAUCUAUCUUUCAUGUGUGUUGGUCACAG
Molecule: long non-coding RNA, 230 nt
Filed under: Vigna radiata
Lineage: Eukaryota; Viridiplantae; Streptophyta; Magnoliopsida; Fabales; Fabaceae
Description: long non-coding RNA (VRAD_LNC000161)
Source: RNAcentral